UCGAGCGGAAACGAUCCUAGCUUGCUAGGAGGCGUCGAGCGGCGGACGGGUGAGUAAUGCAUAGGAAUCUGCCCGGUAGUGGGGGAUAACUUGAGGAAACUCAAGCUAAUACCGCAUACGCCCUACGGGGGAAAGCAGGGGCUCUUCGGACCUUGCGCUAUCGGAUGAGCUUAUGUCGGAUUAGCUGGUUGGUGAGGUAACGGCUCACCAAGGCGACGAUCCGUAGCUGGUCUGAGAGGAUGAUCAGCCACAUCGGGACUGAGACACGGCCCGAACUCCUACGGGAGGCAGCAGUGGGGAAUAUUGGACAAUGGGGGCAACCCUGAUCCAGCCAUGCCGCGUGUGUGAAGAAGGCCCUCGGGUUGUAAAGCACUUUCAGCGAGGAAGAAUGCUUGUCGGUUAAUACCCGGCAAGGGAGACAUCACUCGCAGAAGAAGCACCGGCUAACUCCGUGCCAGCAGCCGCGGUAAUACGGAGGGUGCGAGCGUUAAUCGGAAUUACUGGGCGUAAAGCGUGCGUAGGCGGCUUGAUAAGCCGGUUGUGAAAGCCCCGGGCUCAACCUGGGAACGGCAUCCGGAACUGUUAGGCUAGAGUGCAGGAGAGGAAGGUAGAAUUCCCGGUGUAGCGGUGAAAUGCGUAGAGAUCGGGAGGAAUACCAGUGGCGAAGGCGGCCUUCUGGACUGACACUGACGCUGAGGUACGAAAGCGUGGGUAGCAAACAGGAUUAGAUACCCUGGUAGUCCACGCCGUAAACGAUGUCGACUAGCCGUUGGGGUCCUCGAGANCUUUGUGGCGCAGUUAACGCACUAAGUCGACCGCCUGGGGAGUACGGCCGCAAGGUUAAAACUCAAAUGAAUUGACGGGGGCCCGCACAAGCGGUGGAGCAUGUGGUUUAUUCGAUGCAAC
This 906-nucleotide ribosomal RNA is filed under the name Halomonas elongata. RNAcentral describes it as "bacterial SSU rRNA". It matches the Rfam family "Bacterial small subunit ribosomal RNA", at positions 62 to 960 of the family's 1533-position model. Lineage: Bacteria; Pseudomonadati; Pseudomonadota; Gammaproteobacteria; Oceanospirillales; Halomonadaceae. The record is from RNAcentral.